CCAGCGUGCCCGUUCGAUCAUCAGCCGUCAACCCCGCGCCCGCCCUUCCCCUCGCGCCGCCCUCGCCGCGUCCGUCGAAGGGGCCUGAGCUGCGGGCGGAUCGACGGAUCAAGCCGGCAGAGACCCACCUCCUCCGCACAGAUCCAUGCCCCCCGGUCCCAGCCUCCACCACCACUGAGCCCCUCCUCCGCCGCCACGCCGCGCCCCUCGUGCUCCUACCCCGCGCUUCUGCCUCCGCCGCGCCGCGCCUAGGUUCUCUUUGACUGCCAUGGAUCGAUCGACGCGCGGUGCCGCCGGCCUCCUCCUCACUUGCCGUCUCUCCGCGCGAGGUCGACAUCCUACCGCUCAGCCGUCGAGCCGCAGUGCCAUCACCUCCAGGCCGGCCACCUCCACCCUUGCUGUGCGUCCAAGGCUCGCUGCUGCGUAUCCCCAUCACCGGGCUGCCUCUCCUCACAGCAAAAUCGAUCGUGCGCCACUGUUGGUGCCUAACCCUAACCCUAGGGUGUUGGCCCCAGUGCACUGCCGCCGGCUUUCCCCGACCUCACCACCAAUUCUUGCCGGCGGCAACCUCUAUCUUCGUCUCCACCGUCAUGAUGACUGGGAUCAAGCGACGAUGACCAGGUCUCCAAAGAAUCAUGACCACAACUCUGUAGAAUCAUGUGAGCCCCUAAUUAAAUUCUAUCUCUUUGUUCAACUAAUUAGCAUUAUAUUUGUGGCGUUUGGACAUAGGGUCUGAAUUGGAUGGACACUUUGAUCUUGAAGCAUCUGGGAAGGACUCAGUACAAAACUGCAGAGUUACCAAACCAUAAUCAAAAUCUGAGAAUAACCAGGUGAUCAGCAAAGUUGGGGCAAGCCUUCUCUGUGACACUAAACCUAGGUCUGAAAUGACAGUGAGUGGUACUCCUCUCUUGCUUGAUCUCAAUCUCUUUUGGAACAACAUUACCAUAAGAUGAUAGAAGCGUUUGCUUCUGCAUGUUUGUGUGGCUGAAGUAAGUUCAUGUAAGCAGAUUCUUCUCUCCUUUUCUUUUUGUUCUUUGUUAAUUCCUUUAGAUAUCCAAAACAAGGCAUGUAAAUUCUGGUAUUAGCAAGUUUCUCUUUUUUUUUUGUUACCGGUGCCUUGUUGUUUAUCCAAUUGGAUGUCGAUGCUCAGUCUAGCAAAUUUCAGUAUAAAAUGUUAGUUGACUUUGCUCUGGACUUAAUGUUUGGUAUGUUUUCCAUGUGAUUGUUUUUUAGCAUGUCGGACAUGAAUACAGGAUACUGGAGUAAACCAGGUAGGCUGAUGGAGCUACAAGAUAACACACAUCUGAAAACAGCACAAAUCAUACU
This is a long non-coding RNA of Panicum virgatum (switchgrass), 1326 nucleotides long. RefSeq lists it as uncharacterized. Lineage: Eukaryota; Viridiplantae; Streptophyta; Magnoliopsida; Poales; Poaceae. The record is from RefSeq and is a predicted model, not a curated record. The transcript has 5 exons.